RNAcentral lists this ribosomal RNA (253 nucleotides) under uncultured bacterium. RNAcentral's name for it is "partial 16S ribosomal RNA". It matches the Rfam family "Bacterial small subunit ribosomal RNA", at positions 524 to 776 of the family's 1533-position model. The record is from RNAcentral.
GACGGAGGAUGCAAGCGUUAUCCGGAAUUAUUGGGCGUAAAGCGUCCGUAGGCGGUUUGACAAGUCUGGGGUUAAAGCCCGGAGCCCAACUCCGGAUCGGCCCUGGAAACUGUCAGACUUGAGUAAGGAAGGGGUUGCGGGAAUUCCCGGUGUAGCGGUGAAAUGCGUAGAUAUCGGGAAGAACACCAGCGGCGAAAGCGCGCAACUGGGCCAUUACUGACACUGAGGGACGAAAGCUAGGGGAGCGAAUGGG